RNAcentral lists this long non-coding RNA (310 nucleotides) under Gallus gallus (chicken). Its description in RNAcentral is "lncRNA (ENSGALG00010016038.1)". The record is from RNAcentral. Lineage: Eukaryota; Metazoa; Chordata; Aves; Galliformes; Phasianidae.
GCGUGGAUCCAAGAAAAGGAGAAGCUGGAAAGAGAACGAAAGGGGAAGCGGGGGAAAAAAAAUAAUAAAACCUCAACCAAAAAACCCGGCCCUGAAUCAGGGAUGGCUUCACAGCGCCUCAAGCAAACCCGGCGUGCGGGCUACCGUACGGGACCGGAGCGGCAUCCCCGCGCCGCGCUGCCGGCUGCCCCUAUAUCCCAAAACUUUGCAAAGCUCCUCCCUUCCGUUGGAUGGAACCCAGCAGUUUUUUUUUUCCCAUUUGGAAAUUGUCAAACAGUGGUUAAACAAUCCUUUGGCAAACAAGUAGCAC